AGGCUGUGAGGAUGACAAUUGUAGAAUGAUUGUCUGUGAAUUAUUUAAUACGCUAUUCUGAGCCUUUG
Small nucleolar RNA from Colossoma macropomum (tambaqui), 68 nucleotides. RefSeq annotates it as small nucleolar RNA U54. Lineage: Eukaryota; Metazoa; Chordata; Actinopteri; Characiformes; Serrasalmidae. The record is from RefSeq and is a predicted model, not a curated record. The transcript has a single exon.